UUUUUGAAAAGGGGGGGGGGUUUCCAGCCAUGCCGCGUGGAGGAUGAAGGCCCUCUGGGUUGUAAACUUCUUUUAUAGGGGACGAAAAAGGGUCUUUCUAGAUCAACUGACGGUACCCUAGGAAUAAGCACCGGCUAACUCCGUGCCAGCAGCCGCGGUAAUACGGAGGGUGCAAGCGUUAUCCGGAUUCACUGGGUUUAAAGGGUGCGUAGGUGGGUUAGUAAGUCAGUGGUGAAAUCUUCGAGCUUAACUCGGAAACUGCCAUUGAUACUAUUAGUCUUGAAUAUUGUGGAGGUUAGCGGAAUAUGUCAUGUAGCGGUGAAAUGCUUAGAUAUGACAUAGAACACCAAUUGCGAAGGCAGCUGGCUACACAUAUAUUGACACUGAGGCACGAAAGCGUGGGGAUCAAACAGGAUUAGAUACCCUGGUAGUCCACGCCCUAAACUAUGGAUACUCGACAUACGCGAUACACAGUGUGUGUCUGAGCGAAAGCAUUAAGUAUCCCACCUGGGAAGUACGAUCGCAAGAUUGAAACUCAAAGAAAUUGACGGAAAGAGGGGG
This 561-nucleotide ribosomal RNA is filed under the name Flavobacterium sp. SRS18. Its description in RNAcentral is "bacterial SSU rRNA". It matches the Rfam family "Bacterial small subunit ribosomal RNA", at positions 362 to 935 of the family's 1533-position model. The record is from RNAcentral. Lineage: Bacteria; Pseudomonadati; Bacteroidota; Flavobacteriia; Flavobacteriales; Flavobacteriaceae.